RNAcentral lists this unclassified non-coding RNA (273 nucleotides) under Hevea brasiliensis (rubber tree). The record is from RNAcentral. Lineage: Eukaryota; Viridiplantae; Streptophyta; Magnoliopsida; Malpighiales; Euphorbiaceae.
UGAAUGCAGUUAUCAAUUUGAGCCAACACGUACCUUAUACUGCUUUCUUUCCUCAAGUCAAGUGGCACAAAACUCACCAUGUUAUAUUCGUCCACCAGUUCAAUUAAAGCUUUAUUUAGCUUUGAAAAUUGUGGAGCCAUACGUUGAUUCAACACUGACAACAAAACUUGAGGCUCCGGAUUUAAGAAGUCUUCAAUAUCCUUUUUGUUAGUCACAAGAUCCAUUUUGGAGAGGAUGUUAAUAUGUGGUAAUUCAAGUUGGACCAUUGCUGAA